Molecule: long non-coding RNA, 3846 nt
Filed under: Mytilus galloprovincialis (Mediterranean mussel)
Lineage: Eukaryota; Metazoa; Mollusca; Bivalvia; Mytilida; Mytilidae
Source: RNAcentral
AAUAUUUGCUAAACUGACCUGUAAAAUAAGAUUUUUCUUUCUUUAAUUCGUAAUUAUCUGAUAUAGGGGAUAAUAUCUAUUUAUUUGUCCAUCAUUAUCUCCAAUUCAAAUCUCCAAUAUUUAAUCCCUAAAGUGCAUGCCUCGGGUAUAUAUAUGUAAAGUUGGGUUACAUUAAAACAGAAUUUAAGGUUUCAGCAACACCCGAGGGAUUGCUGCAGUAAUUUAAUAAGAUAAACAAGUUUUGGUUUCCUACAGCACCCUCAUCAAGAUUAAAACUACAGAAGAGCACAAAAUUCCCAAGUGAUAAUGUGUUCUUCACAAUUUGUCACCAUAAGAAGAAAUUACAAAUAGAGAGUGAUUGAAGGUAUGACAGUAAACUGGAUUAAGAAUGUUAAAUAAAAUAUGUUUUUGCAAAUUUGGACGACAAUUAAUUGCAAUUAUGUACCAUUUCAACAAUAGAAGUAGUAUAGACUUGCAAAUCCGUACCAUUACAACACUGGAAGUAGUAUGGUUGUCUGAGCGAAGCCAAUUGGAAGCAUGUACCUCUUAGUGAAGCUAAUUGGGAGCACACCCUCUGUCUUGUUGCGAAGCUAGAUUGGAAGCAGUACAUAUAUACCUCUGUCUGCAAAAGCUAAUUAGAAGCAGUACCCCUGGCAGAGCGGUCCCAAUUAGAGGCAUGUAACUCUGAGGGAAGCCAAUUGGAAGCAGUACCUCUGCAAAAUUUGAUUAAAAAUUAUUCAACCAAUUUUAUUUAACAUUCUUUUUAAAGUUUACUUUCAUACCAACUCUCAUUUUCUAUUUAUAAUUACUCCCCUUGUUGACAUUGUGACGUGCAAAUUAUCACUUCACCAUUUAGAAGAUCAUUCUAAUAAAUUACUACAACACACGCUCAGGUAUUGUUAUAAGGGUAAAAUAUUUUAUUAAUUUUAGUUUAUGCGACUUUAAAUGAUAACUUAACUUACUGUAACUUUUUGACAGCUAAGGUUCCUCAAGAUCUAUAGAAAGAAGUUUGCUGUCAAGGGCAUGUGAUACAGUAACAGGGGAGGUAAUGAUGUCGCUAAUGUCUAAUAUUACUUUUAGCCAUGUCAAAUAGUUACAUAUCAGGAAAAGACCCAUUUUUUGACUGAUUUAACAUGAAAAUGAAUUCAUUGACCCCUUUUUUUAAAAAUUACAUUAGGCUUGAAUAUGUUUAAAGAUUAUUUGUGCCAAUUUGAAGAAACCAGAGUUUUUUUACUGAAAUCGUGACAAUAUGUUGUUACACAAAUUUAACUCACAACACACUUAAUAUGUAGAGAUGAUAUUCCAGGUUUUUUUUAUUACAAAACUCCCCUUGUGUUUAUCUUUUAUGACAUAAAAGUUCAGUAUGUCUUUCCAUUAGAUGGAAAUAUCCAAGAAACCUAAAUGUCUAGUAAAUGUCUAAUAUUUGACUGCUCAAGUAUUAAAGUAGCACAUGAAGGUACAUGUAUUAUUACAUAUUUGAAUUGACUAGGUGAAUAAAUAGCUUGUAAAUGUAUUUAAAUGUAAAAUACAAUAAAUUACUUUUUGUUUAUAUUAAAUUGUCAGAGGAUGGGGUAGAAUCACCAGUUCUUAAGUUAAUGAAUUCACAUAAGAACAGACUUUGUGGUCUUGAAAAAUCCUUGAAAUAAAAUAAUUACUCAUGGCACCAAAUAGAUUUUACUAGAAAUUACUUUGUUAUGUAGUAGUUUUAAGUGAAAAUGGAAACUCUUAAUAGUUCUUUUAACAAUUUUAAAUUAUAAACCUCAUAUAUACUUUAAAAAAUUUGUUUUUAAUAAAUGAAGAAAAAAGUUGACAAUUUUCAGUUUAAAUUCAAAUUGCAGAUUUGACAUGAUAAAUUCAUUAUUUUUUUUAACAUUCCCUGGUAAGCUAAAAUCUUGAAAAAGCAAGAGACAAAAAGUGUACCAAAAGUGAAAGGAUUAAUAAGUUUAGAAUGUAUUCAAAGUUUUCCAAUGUAUAUAGCUGACAAAAAGAGGAUUUUUAUUUUCAGUCUUCGGGUCAUGUAUAAAAAAAAUGGAUUUCCAGAAAGUUGGCUUCUGAGGCUUGAACUUUUUUUCUUUACACUUUUGAACCCCCAACCAAAAAGAUACACUAGUUUUCUCCACCAAUUAAAAGUGGUGUGUUUACAAACAAUUCAAAAAGUUUUGCUAUUUCAGUUAGUGUUUGGAUAUAAAAUACUCUUUUACUUUGAUAGAAACAGAAAUCAUCACAAAUUCAAUAUCUCAAAACGGACAUCAUAAGGACUCCCCUGUGAGAAUGUGGGAGCCCUACAGUUUUCACUUUGUUCGUCUGUCUACAACUUUUGUAAAUACAAAAUCUCCUCAUAAAUAUAUAGGUAAAUUAAAGCAAUCUUUACCAUUCACUGUGCUUCCAAGCACUUUGAUUACCAUUCUAGGGUUAUGCCCCUUUACAUAUGGAAAAAUUCCUGAAUGUUUCGUUUCUGUUCUCUUAAUUUAAGUUUGUCUCAACUAAAUUUAAUGAAAUGUAUAUAUUAUGCUUAUUACCACUAAACUCAGUUUAAGUUCAAAUUUUGACAGCUUCACUUUUACAGUUCUUGAGUUAUGUCCCUUUAUAACGUAAUAUGCUAGCGGCACAGGUCAUCAUCUGUGUCCCUAUGGAGGCAUUGACCCCAUUUAUUUUUAAUAUAGUGGAAGCAGAUUAGUUGUUAUUUAGGUAUUUUGUAGCAUGAUGCCUUAUAAUUAAAUUUUGCUUGUGUUCCAUAGACUUAUGGUUGGAAAUAUUUUGAAAACCUUCACUUUCUACCCAGAGUGUCAAGUUUCUUUUUAUAUAAUCUAACUUUUACAUGAUCAUUAUAAUGAUUUUCUUUAUGUGUAUAUGUUUAUGCUUAUGAGUUGUAUUCAUGUAUAUUAUAUGUAUAAUAAUUCCCUAGUCAUAAAAGUAUAACAGGAAUUGAUUGUCUUCUUGCGUAUGUGUAAUACAUGUACAUGUAGCCUAGGCGUAGGAAUUUUAGCACCAAAAUAUUUGAGUUGUAAAGUGACAUCUUUACAUAUUUUAGUUCUAGCUUGAACUUUGAACAUUGUAUUUUUAGGGAUGUUGAAAGAACAAAGAUUUGCAUAAUUUUGUAUUUUGAUAUUAAAUUAAUUUUUAUGUAGGUGUAAUGGUUAUUAUAUAUACAAACAUAAUCGUAUUUCGACUUUUGUACCAUAUAUUUUAUAGUUGUAGUCCUAAUGACAAAAUUUCUUUUAUUCUUACAUAUUUACAAACAAAACAAAACAAUAUACGUCCGAGUAUGUCUCGUGAGACGACUUGUCGCAUUGGGUCGGAGCAUAUAUGACCGUUUCCGGACCCUUGGGUCGGACCCAGGUUUCCAGUUUCCCAUUAUUGGGUUUGUUUGGUUGUUCCUGGCCGGCGAGGUCGUUGAUGAUCGAGUUAUUCAUUUGUUCAGUUUACAUUCAUGUCAACCAUAUUAUAUCUCUUGCUUGUACAAAGUUUACUUUUUUUAACUUGGUGUACCUAAUAGUAUAUUUCAAGGUGUUUUUGAUUUAGGAGUAAUUGUGGUUAUUGCUUUUUUCAUAUGUUAUAUAUAUAUAUAUAUAUAUAUAUAUAUAUAUUAAGACACAUGUAUGUAAUUAUUUAAUAAAUUCUCUUGUCCACUAUGCUUGCUGGGCUAUCGGCAACACUAUAUAUAUUGUAUUCAUUUAUGCCUUAUAAUAGAUAUGAGCGUAUAGGGUAUACAUAUAGUUAUUCAAAUGCAAAAGGUUGACAUGAGAUUAUUUCUCUAGUACUGGUACAAGUUAUUGAAUUCAUAUUGUAUAAUGUAUGUUUAUAUUGAUAAUUUGUCUUAUUAAAUAGCAGCUCACAAUAUGCUGU